UACGGAGGGCGCGAGCGUUAAUCGGAAUUACUGGGCGUAAAGCGCGCGUAGGCUGUUGUGUAAGUUGGGGGUGAAAUCCCACGGCUCAACCGUGGAACAGCCCUUGAUACUGCGCGACUUGAAUCCGGGAGAGGGUGGCGGAAUUCCAGGUGUAGGAGUGAAAUCCGUAGAUAUCUGGAGGAACAUCAGUGGCGAAGGCGGCCACCUGGACCGGUAUUGACGCUGUGGCGCGAAAGCGUGGGGAGCAAACAGG
Molecule: ribosomal RNA, 253 nt
Filed under: uncultured bacterium
Lineage: Bacteria
Description: partial 16S ribosomal RNA
Rfam family: Bacterial small subunit ribosomal RNA
Source: RNAcentral